This 505-nucleotide ribosomal RNA is filed under the name uncultured bacterium. Its description in RNAcentral is "bacterial SSU rRNA". It matches the Rfam family "Bacterial small subunit ribosomal RNA", at positions 8 to 526 of the family's 1533-position model. The record is from RNAcentral.
AGAGUUUGAUCAUGGCUCAGGAUGAACGCUAGCGGCAGGCUUAACACAUGCAAGUCGAGGGGUAGAAGAGAGCUUGCUCUCUUUGAGACCGGCAAACGGGUGCGGAACACGUACGCAAUCUGCCCUUAUCUUGGGGAUAGCCCAUAGAAAUGUGGAUUAAUACCCAAUAGUAUAGAAUGGUGGCAUCACCAGAUUAUUAAAGAACUUCGGAUAAGGAUGAGCGUGCGUCUGAUUAGCUAGUUGGCGGGGUAACGGCCCACCAAGGCGACGAUGCGUAGCCGACCUGAGAGGGUGACCGGCCACACUGGGACUGAGACACGGCCCAGACUCCUACGGGAGGCAGCAGUGGGGAAUAUUGCGCAAUGGGCGAAAGCCUGACGCAGCGACGCCGCGUGAGGGAUGACGGCCUUCGGGUUGUAAACCUCUUUCAGCAGGGACGAAGCGAAAGUGACGGUACCUGCAGAAGAAGCACCGGCCAACCACGUGCCAGCCGCCGCGGUAAUAC